UACGUAGGGGGCAAGCGUUGUCCGGAAUUAUUGGGCGUAAAGAGCUCGUAGGCGGUCCACUAAGUCGGAUGUGAAAUCUCAGGGCUCAACCCUGAAAUCGCAUCCGAUACUGGUGGACUUGAGGCAGGUAGGGGAAGGUGGAAUUCCUGGUGUAGCGGUGAAAUGCGCAGAUAUCAGGAGGAACACCGGUGGCGAAGGCGGCCUUCUGGGCCUGUUCUGACGCUGAGGAGCGAAAGCGUGGGGAGCAAACAGG
Molecule: ribosomal RNA, 253 nt
Filed under: uncultured bacterium
Lineage: Bacteria
Description: partial 16S ribosomal RNA
Rfam family: Bacterial small subunit ribosomal RNA
Source: RNAcentral